This 76-nucleotide transfer RNA is filed under the name Nitrospiraceae bacterium. Its description in RNAcentral is "tRNA-Gln". The record is from RNAcentral. Lineage: Bacteria; Pseudomonadati; Nitrospirota; Nitrospiria; Nitrospirales; Nitrospiraceae.
CCGGAGAGUAGCAGGCGCNNUAGGACAGAGGCCUUUGAAGCCUUGAAUCGGGGUUCGACUCCCUGCCCCCGAACCA